RNAcentral lists this small nuclear RNA (143 nucleotides) under Capra hircus (goat). The record is from RNAcentral. Lineage: Eukaryota; Metazoa; Chordata; Mammalia; Artiodactyla; Bovidae.
GUGGGCUACAGUCCACGGGUGGCAAAGAGUCAGACUUCACUUUCACUUAUAGCACAUAUAUUAAAAUUGGAGCUAUAAAGAAAAGAUUAGCAUGGUCUUUGUAUGAGGAUGACACACAAAUUCAUGAAGUGUUCCAUAUUUUU